CUGAGACCCGCACCCUUCCCCGGUCCCACCCGUCACCAGGCCGCCCGCGUAGCCAGGAAUUCUUAGCCAGGUUCCUGUGCGCCCACCGUGACCCUACGAGAAGAGGCGGACGCCCUGGCACGUCCUUCCCUCCUGCUUCCCCCGCCCGAAGCGCUCCCGGUUCCCGGGGCGUCAGGUCGGCUGACAGUUCGGGGUCCCUGCGUCCUGUCUCCUCAGCUGGGCUUCGAGGAUGUGAUCGCAGAGCCGGUGACUACGCACUCCUUUGACAAAGUGUGGAUCUGCAGCCAUGCCCUCUUUGAAAUCAGCAAAUACGUAAUGUACAAGUUCCUGACGGUGUUCCUGGCCAUUCCUCUGGCCUUCAUUGCGGGAAUUCUCUUUGCCACGCUCAGCUGUCUGCACAUCUGGAUUUUAAUGCCUUUUGUAAAGACCUGCCUAAUGGUUCUGCCUUCAGUGCAGACAAUAUGGAAGAGUGUGACAGAUGUUAUCAUUGCUCCAUUGUGUACGAGCGUAGGACGAUGCUUCUCUUCUGUCAGCCUGCAACUGAGCCAGGAUUGAAUACUCGGACCCCAGGUCUGGAGAUUGGGAUACUGUAAUACUUCUUUGUUAUUAUAACAUAAAAGCACCACUGUUCUGUUCAUUUCCUAGCUGUUCUAAUUAAGAAAACUAUUAAGAUGAGCAACCACAUUUAGAAAUGUUUAUUGACAGGUCUUUUCAAAUAAUGCUUUUCUAAUUAAUAGCCAAAGAUUUCAUAUCUAACUUUGUAACCAGAAUUAUACAGUAAGUUGAC
This 787-nucleotide small RNA is filed under the name Pan troglodytes (chimpanzee). RNAcentral's name for it is "processed transcript". Lineage: Eukaryota; Metazoa; Chordata; Mammalia; Primates; Hominidae. The record is from RNAcentral.